UCCUUGGGUGACGAGCGGCGGACGGGUGAGUAAAGUCUGGGGAUCUGCCUGAUGGAGGGGGAUAACUACUGGAAACGGUAGCUAAUACCGCAUGACGUCUUCGGACCAAAGUGGGGGACCUUCGGGCCUCACGCCAUGAGAUGAACCCAGAUGGGAUUAGCUGGUAGGUGAGGUAACGGCUCACCUAGGCGACGAUCCCUAGCUGGUCUGAGAGGAUGACCAGCCACACUGGAACUGAGACACGGUCCAGACUCCUACGGGAGGCAGCAGUGGGGAAUAUUGCACAAUGGGGGAAACCCUGAUGCAGCCAUGCCGCGUGUGUGAAGAAGGCCUUCGGGUUGUAAAGCACUUUCAGCGGGGAGGAAGGCAAUAAACUUAAUAAGUUUGUUGAUUGACGUUACCCGCAGAAGAAGCACCGGCUAACUCCGUGCCAGCAGCCGCGGUAAUACGGAGGGUGCAAGCGUUAAUCGGAAUGACUGGGCGUAAAGCGCACGCAGGCGGUCUGUUAAGUUGGAUGUGAAAUCCCCGGGCUCAACCCGGGAACAGCAUUCAAAACUGACAGGCUAGAGUCUCGUAGAGGGGGGUAGAAUUCCAGGUGUAGCGGUGAAAUGCGUAGAGAUCUGGAGGAAUACCGGUGGCGAAGGCGGCCCCCUGGACGAAGACUGACGCUCAGGUGCGAAAGCGUGGGGAGCAAACAGGAUUAGAUACCCUGGUAGUCCACGCCGUAAACGAUGUCGACUUGGAGGCUGUGGUCUUGAACCGUGGCUUCCGGAGCUAACGCGUUAAGUCGACCGCCUGGGGAGUACGGCCGCAAGGUUAAAACUCAAAUGAAUUGACGGGGGCCCGCACAAGCGGUGGAGCAUGUGGUUUAAUUCGAUGCAACGCGAAGAACCUUACCUACUCUUGACAUCCAGAGAAGACUGUAGAGAUACGGUUGUGCCUUCGGGAGCUCUGAGACAGGUGCUGCAUGGCUGUCGUCAGCUCGUGUUGUGAAAUGUUGGGUUAAGUCCCGCAACGAGCGCAACCCUUAUCCUUUGUUGCCAGCGAUACGGUCGGGAACUCAAAGGAGACUGCCGGUGAUAAACCGGAGGAAGGUGGGGAUGACGUCAAGUCAUCAUGGCCCUUACGAGUAGGGCUACACACGUGCUACAAUGGCGCAUACAAAGAGAAGCGAGCCUGCGAGGGUGAGCGGACCUCAUAAAGUGCGUCGUAGUCCGGAUUGGAGUCUGCAACUCGACUCCAUGAAGUCGGAAUCGCUAGUAAUCGUAGAUCAGAAUGCUACGGUGAAUACGUUCCCGGGCCUUGUACACACCGCCCGUCACACCAUGGGAGUGGGUUGCAAAAGAAGUAGGUAGCUU
RNAcentral lists this ribosomal RNA (1358 nucleotides) under Brenneria salicis. RNAcentral's name for it is "bacterial SSU rRNA". It matches the Rfam family "Bacterial small subunit ribosomal RNA", at positions 81 to 1436 of the family's 1533-position model. The record is from RNAcentral. Lineage: Bacteria; Pseudomonadati; Pseudomonadota; Gammaproteobacteria; Enterobacterales; Pectobacteriaceae.